AGAGCGAACGCUGGCGGCAGGCCUAACACAUGCAAGUCGAGCGCCCGUAGCAAUACGGGAGCGGCAGACGGGAGAGUAACACGUGGGAACGCGCCCUUCGGUUCGGAAUAACUCAGGGAAACUUGAGCUAAUACCGGAUACGCCCUUACGGGGAAAGAUUUAUUGCCGAAGGAACGGCCCGCGUCCGAUUAGCUUGUUGGUGAGGUAAUGGCUCACCAAGGCGACGAUCGGUAGCUGGUCUGAGAGGAUGACCAGCCUCACUGGGACUGAGACACGGCCCAGACUCCUACGGGAGGCAGCAGUGGGGAAUAUUGGACAAUGGGCGCAAGCCUGAUCCAGCCAUGCCGCGUGGAUGAUGAAGGCCCGUAGGGUUGUAAAGUCCUUUUAACGGGGAAGAUAAUGACGGUACCGUAGAAUAAGCCCGGCUAACUUCGCGCCAGCAGCCGC
RNAcentral lists this ribosomal RNA (447 nucleotides) under uncultured bacterium. Its description in RNAcentral is "SSU rRNA". It matches the Rfam family "Bacterial small subunit ribosomal RNA", at positions 26 to 518 of the family's 1533-position model. The record is from RNAcentral.